This 397-nucleotide ribosomal RNA is filed under the name uncultured bacterium. RNAcentral's name for it is "bacterial SSU rRNA". It matches the Rfam family "Bacterial small subunit ribosomal RNA", at positions 111 to 495 of the family's 1533-position model. The record is from RNAcentral.
UAACACGUGGUCAACCUGCCCUACUUGUCGGNGACAACCUACNGAAAGGGAGGCUAAUACCCGAUAUUGUCCAAGCCCGAUGGGGCUUGUUCCAAAGACGGUCCUGCCGUCGCAAGGGGAGGGGACCGCGGCCUAUUAGCUUGUUGGUAGGGUAAUGGCCUACCAAGGCAAUGAUGGGUAGCUGGUCUGAGAGGACGAUCAGCCACAUUGGGACUGAGAUACGGCCCAGACUCCUACGGGAGGCAGCAGUGGGGAAUCUUUCGCAAUGGACGAAAGUCUGACGGAGCGACACCGCGUGGGGGAUGACGGCUUUCGGGUUGUAAACUCCUUUUCUGGGGGAAGAAUAAGGUCGAGAGGAAAUGCUCGUCCGANGACGNACUNCCAGGAAUAAGCAUCG